GACGAACGCUGGCGGCGUGCUUAACACAUGCAAGUCGAACGGAGUGCCCAUGAAGGAGAUUUCGGUCAACGGACUGGGUAACUUAGUGGCGGACGGGUGAGUAACGCGUGAGGAACCUGCCUUUCAGAGGGGGACAACAGUUGGAAACGACUGCUAAUACCGCAUAACGCACAGUUAUCGCAUGGUAGCUGUGCCAAAGAUUUAUCGCUGAGAGAUGGCCUCGCGUCUGAUUAGCUAGUUGGUGAGGUAACGGCCCACCAAGGCGACGAUCAGUAGCCGGACUGAGAGGUUGGCCGGCCACAUUGGGACUGAGAUACGGCCCAG
Molecule: ribosomal RNA, 324 nt
Filed under: uncultured bacterium
Lineage: Bacteria
Description: bacterial SSU rRNA
Rfam family: Bacterial small subunit ribosomal RNA
Source: RNAcentral